RNAcentral lists this ribosomal RNA (313 nucleotides) under uncultured prokaryote. RNAcentral describes it as "bacterial SSU rRNA". It matches the Rfam family "Bacterial small subunit ribosomal RNA", at positions 31 to 332 of the family's 1533-position model. The record is from RNAcentral.
AGAUUAGAACGCUGGCGGCAUGCCUAACACAUGCAAGUCGAGCGGCAGCGGCGGGGGCAACCCUGGCGGCGAGCGGCGGACGGGUGAGUAAGGCAUCGGAAUCUGCCCUGAUGGUGGGGGAUAACGUAGGGAAACUUACGCUAAUACCGCAUACGACCGAGAGGUGAAAGGCGGGGGAACCGAAAGGCCUCGCGCAGCAGGAUGAGCCGAUGUCCGAUUACGCUGGUUGGUGGGGUAAAACGGCCUACCGAAGGCGACGAUCGGUAGCUGGUCUGAGAGGAUGAUCAGCCACACUGGGACUGAGACACGGCCC